AGGUGUAGAUUGCCAUUCAACUG
Molecule: microRNA, 23 nt
Filed under: Strongyloides ratti
Lineage: Eukaryota; Metazoa; Nematoda; Chromadorea; Rhabditida; Strongyloididae
Description: str-miR-8397-5p
Source: miRBase by way of RNAcentral